This is a non-coding RNA of Xylaria sp. CBS 124048, 103 nucleotides long. Lineage: Eukaryota; Fungi; Ascomycota; Sordariomycetes; Xylariales; Xylariaceae. The record is from the annotation of a GenBank genome assembly.
GUCUUCGUGGCUCAGUUGGCUAGAGCGUUGGUCUCAUAUUCAAUAUGACCCAGUCCCAGAUUGGGUGAUCCAAAGGUCGUGAGUUCGAGCCUCACCGAGGACA